GGGCACUUUAAAGAGACUGCCGGUGUUAAGCCGGAGGAAGGUGGGGAUGACGUCAAGUCCUCAUGGCCUUUAUGCCCAGGGCUACACACGUGCUACAAUGGGCGGUACAAAGAGAAGCAACCUCGCGAGGGUGAGCAAAUCUCAAAAAGCCGUUCUCAGUUCGGAUUGAAGUCUGCAACUCGACUUCAUGAAGUCGGAAUCGCUAGUAAUCGCGGAUCAGCAUGCCGCGGUGAAUACGUUCCCGGGCCUU
This 250-nucleotide ribosomal RNA is filed under the name uncultured Syntrophaceae bacterium. RNAcentral describes it as "partial 16S ribosomal RNA". It matches the Rfam family "Bacterial small subunit ribosomal RNA", at positions 1133 to 1382 of the family's 1533-position model. Lineage: Bacteria; Pseudomonadati; Thermodesulfobacteriota; Syntrophia; Syntrophales; Syntrophaceae. The record is from RNAcentral.